Molecule: long non-coding RNA, 1400 nt
Organism: Carassius carassius (crucian carp)
Lineage: Eukaryota; Metazoa; Chordata; Actinopteri; Cypriniformes; Cyprinidae
Exons: 2
Source: RefSeq, a predicted model, not a curated record
UGCUUUUCUUGAGUACCGCCCAGAGCAAUAGUGCAGUGAUACGACAUGAUUUUUUUUUUUUUGUACUGUUGUAACAGAUUGUAUUUUUGUAUACUUGUAAAUUUUACCAUUCGCAACCAAACUCCAGUUUAGACACCAAAAAAGAAAUGUCCAGUUUGAUUGCUGGGUGUUAAAAUCAACAAUUAAUGUUCAAAAGUUUGGGGUCAGUAUGAUUAUGUUAUGUAAAGUCGCACAUGUUCAUCAAGGCUGAAUUUAUUUGAUCAAAAAUACAGUAAAAAUAAAAUAGCAGUAAUGUGAAAUAUUAUUACAGUUUAAUAUAACUGUUUUAUAUUUUAAUAUAUUUUAACACUUAAUUAUUCCUGUGAUGCAAAGCUGAAUUUUCUUCAUCAUUACUCCAGUCUUCAGUGUCACAUGUUCCUUCAGAAAUCAUUCUAAUAUAAUGAUUUUGUGAUAUUUUUUUAUUAUUAUCAACGUUUGAAAUAGUUAAUAUUUUUUUAGGAAACAUUGAUGCAUUUUCCCCCCCCAGAUUCUUUGAUUAAUAAAAAAGUUCAAAAGAAUAGUAACUAUUUUUAAAUUUAAUUAUUUUAUGGUCACCAUGUCCAGUUUAAUGAAUCCUCGCUGAAUAAAAGUAUUAAUUUCUUUAAAAAACAAAUCAUACUGACCCAAAAGCUAAACUGUAGUGUAUGUUAAAAUAUAAUGCUGUAGUUUGAUUUUUAAUUGUUCAUUUGUGUUAUCUUCAGUGCAUUGAUUGCUGUUGCUCUGGUCUGUUUGGUUUCCUGCUGCUUUAUGAAUUAGUGCGUGUAAAUUAAUCCUCAUAAUACAGUCACUUAAGGUUAAAGGAUGAACUCCCAUGAUAUACAUAUUAAUUAUCGGAUGACAUCUAUAUUCAUGAGAAAAAAAAAUCAUCUAUAAAUGUGUUGUCUGUAGUUUGUGAGCAGGUUAGAGUACUGUAAAGUUUUCCCUGACAUGUUUGGGGUGAAAGGUCAUUGGUAAGUGUGUCGUCUGUGUCUCGCUGGCCAAUGAAAUCGUAGCACUUUCUGUUUAACGUGAACAUUUUGUUUUGUGAAUAUCAAAUCAGUAUGACUCCUGAAAUGACAAACAAAUACAAUUUUGUGAACGAUGCAGCCGAAGGGGCACCGAUUUAAAAAUAAAUAAAUACUGUAUAACCAGAAAUGUUCUAGAUGGAGGCUGUAGCACAUAACCUCUUUUAUUACUUGCUUUCAUAUUUCUGCUUUUCUUUUCAUGUUGGAGUCAUUUGUAAAAUAUGUCUUAAUAUUGCAUAACUGAACAUUCUUCUGCAACUCCUGUUUUUCUUUUUGCUCUUCGUUUCUGCCCUUUUAUCUCUUCUCUCCUCCUAAACAGAAAAGAAUCAUGACAAUAAAUGAAACGUGACUGAAGUA